GCGUCGGUGGCAAAGUGGCUAAUGCAGUCCCCUGCAGAGGGACGGAUCGGGGGUUCGAGUCCCUCCCGGCGCU
This 73-nucleotide transfer RNA is filed under the name Candidatus Woesearchaeota archaeon. RNAcentral describes it as "tRNA-Cys". It matches the Rfam family "tRNA". From Rfam's summary of the family: Transfer RNA (tRNA) molecules are approximately 80 nucleotides in length. Their secondary structure includes four short double-helical elements and three loops (D, anti-codon, and T loops). Further hydrogen bonds mediate the characteristic L-shaped molecular structure. tRNAs have two regions of fundamental functional importance: the anti-codon, which is responsible for specific mRNA codon recognition, and the 3' end, to which the tRNAs corresponding amino acid is attached (by aminoacyl-tRNA synthetases). tRNAs cope with the degeneracy of the genetic code in two manners: having more than one tRNA (with a specific anti-codon) for a particular amino acid; and 'wobble' base-pairing, i.e. permitting non-standard base-pairing at the 3rd anti-codon position. The record is from RNAcentral. Lineage: Archaea; Nanobdellati; Candidatus Woesearchaeota.